UACGGGGGGGGCAAGCGUUGUUCGGAAUUACUGGGCGUAAAGGGCUCGUAGGCGGCCAACUAAGUCCGACGUGAAAUCCCCAGGCUUAACCUGGGAACUGCGUCGGAUACUGGAUGGCUUGAAUUCGGGAGAGGGAUGCAGAAUUCCAGGUGUAGCGGUGAAAUGCGUAGAGAUGGGGGAGAACACUCGUGGCGAAGGCGGCCAGCUAGACCAGUUCUGACACUGAGGCGCGACAGCGUGGGGAGCAAACAGG
This 253-nucleotide ribosomal RNA is filed under the name uncultured bacterium. Its description in RNAcentral is "partial 16S ribosomal RNA". It matches the Rfam family "Bacterial small subunit ribosomal RNA", at positions 524 to 776 of the family's 1533-position model. The record is from RNAcentral.